Molecule: transfer RNA, 76 nt
Filed under: Candidatus Hydrogenedentota bacterium
Lineage: Bacteria; Pseudomonadati; Candidatus Hydrogenedentota
Description: Candidatus Hydrogenedentes bacterium tRNA-Thr
Rfam family: tRNA
About the family: Transfer RNA (tRNA) molecules are approximately 80 nucleotides in length.
Source: RNAcentral
GCUGGAAUAGCUCAGUUGGUAGAGCGCAUCACUCGUAAUGAUGAGGUCCGGGGUUCGAUUCCCCGUUCCAGCUCCA